GAUCGGCUCAGGACGAACGCUGGCGGCGUGCCUAAUACAUGCAAGUAGAACGCUGAAGGAGGAGCUUGCUUCUCCGGAUGAGUUGCGAACGGGUGAGUAACGCGUAGGUAACCUGCCUGGUAGCGGGGGAUAACUAUUGGAAACGAUAGCUAAUACCGCAUAAUAGUAGAUGUUGCAUGACAUUUGCUUAAAAGGUGCAAUUGCAUCACUACCAGAUGGACCUGCGUUGUA
Molecule: ribosomal RNA, 231 nt
Filed under: uncultured bacterium
Lineage: Bacteria
Description: partial 16S ribosomal RNA
Rfam family: Bacterial small subunit ribosomal RNA
Source: RNAcentral